CCUACGGGGGGCAGCAGUGAGGAAUAUUGGUCAAUGGACGAGAGUCUGAACCAGCCAAGUAGCGUGAAGGAUGACUGCCCUAUGGGUUGUAAACUUCUUUUAUAUGGGAAUAAAAUGUUCCACGUGUGGGAUUUUGUAUGUACCAUAUGAAUAAGGAUCGGCUAACUCCGUGCCAGCAGCCGCGGUAAUACGGAGGAUCCGAGCGUUAUCCGGAUUUAUUGGGUUUAAAGGGAGCGUAGGUGGAUUGUUAAGUCAGUUGUGAAAGUUUGCGGCUCAACCGUAAAAUUGCAGUUGAAACUGGCAGUCUUGAGUACAGUAGAGGUGGGCGGAAUUCGUGGUGUAGCGGUGAAAUGCUUAGAUAUCACGAAGAACUCCGAUUGCGAAGGCAGUUCACUGGACUGCAACUGACACUGAGGCUCGAAAGUGUGGGUAUCAAACAGGAUUAGAUACCCGAGUAAUC
RNAcentral lists this ribosomal RNA (460 nucleotides) under uncultured bacterium. RNAcentral's name for it is "partial 16S ribosomal RNA". It matches the Rfam family "Bacterial small subunit ribosomal RNA", at positions 338 to 795 of the family's 1533-position model. The record is from RNAcentral.